AUGCUCUCCGUCAAAAGUGCUUAUAAACUGGCUUAUAACCUCACUGUUGAGAGUCCUGUGCAGGAGGGUGCGAGUAGAGCAGGUGACUGUUCUAGACCUAUUUGGCGUAAUAUUCGGUCUGCCCCUAUGCCUAAUAAAGUUCAUGCUUUCGUCUGGCGCUUAGCUGCUGAUAACUUGGCUACGAAGAGAAACAAACUGAAACAUACCCUGGAGGUUAAUAGUCCAUGCUCUAUAUGUGGUGUUGCAGAAGAAGAUAGUUUUCAUGCAGUGGUUAACUGUACAAAGGCAAGAGCUCUUCGUAUGGAAGUUAAAAAGGUGUGGGAUAUUCCUGAAGAAUCUCAGUUUGCUUAUACAGGAAAAGAUUGCUGCUGA
Molecule: ribosomal RNA, 372 nt
Filed under: Triticum aestivum (bread wheat)
Lineage: Eukaryota; Viridiplantae; Streptophyta; Magnoliopsida; Poales; Poaceae
Description: partial small subunit ribosomal RNA
Source: RNAcentral